GACGUAGGGCGCGAGCGUUGUCCGGAUUUAUUGGGCGUAAAGCGUGCGCAGGCGGUUCCGCAAGUCAGAUGUGAAAUCCCCGGGCUCAACCUGGGAACUGCAUUUGAAACUACGGGGCUAGAGUGUGUCAGAGGGGGGUGGAAUUCCACGUGUAGCAGUGAAAUGCGUAGAGAUGUGGAGGAACACCAAUGGCGAAGGCAGCCCCCUGGGAUGACACUGACGCUCAUGCACGAAAGCGUGGGGAGCAAACAGG
Molecule: ribosomal RNA, 253 nt
Filed under: uncultured bacterium
Lineage: Bacteria
Description: partial 16S ribosomal RNA
Rfam family: Bacterial small subunit ribosomal RNA
Source: RNAcentral